RNAcentral lists this small nuclear RNA (103 nucleotides) under Salvator merianae (Argentine black and white tegu). Lineage: Eukaryota; Metazoa; Chordata; Lepidosauria; Squamata; Teiidae. The record is from RNAcentral.
GUGCUUGCUUCGGCAGCAUAUAUACUAAAAUUGGAAUGAUACAGAGAAGAUUAGCCUGGCCCCUGUGCAAGGAUUGCACAUUUCUGAAGCCUUUCAUAUUUUU